Molecule: long non-coding RNA, 705 nt
Organism: Brassica rapa (field mustard)
Lineage: Eukaryota; Viridiplantae; Streptophyta; Magnoliopsida; Brassicales; Brassicaceae
Source: RefSeq, a predicted model, not a curated record
CACAUUUGUCUCCGUCUGGACAAUUGUUUGUCCAAUUGGUUUCCGUUUGUGGAAGAUCAGAGCCAGGGUGAAAACCGAAUGGGUUCAUAAUCGGUUCUUCGUCAACAUAUCCUCUGAAGAUACACUCCAUCUCUUUUCUAUCGGAAAAAUCCAAAGACUCCAACUUUUUUUUGCCAAUCUAGAAGAAAUCGAGAUCCCCAGGAAUCUCCGUUUCGUUGCCCAGAUUCUCCUCUUCUCCAGCAGAGAUAGAUCUUGCCACCAUCACAGAUCGAAUGGCUGUUAGAAAAGCUGUUCAAAACGGAAACGUCGAGGAUGCUAUUGAAAAAGUUAAUGACUUGAACUUUGAGAUACUAGACAGAAAUCCAGAGCUCUUCUUUCAUCUUCAGCAGCAAAGGGUGAUUGAACUUAUUCGACAAGAGAAGCCUUGGAGUUUGCUCAGGAGGAACUUUCACCACGUUGCAGCAAGGGAAAAGCAUGAUUGUUGCGGGCUUUGCUGAGUCUAAGAAGGAUCAUGGUAAUUGGGAAGAGUGCUCUUUGUUUGAUCCUUGUUUGCAUUACCUUUUAGUAGUUAACUAGAUAGUUUUGGACUAGCUUUUUGUUUGAUUUGUUGGUUCAAGUUUUAGAGAUCCUAUCUAUUGAUGAUUUUGAUGAUUUUUAUGUGUGUAGUACUUCUCAUUUGGAUUGAAGAAAUUUUUUUUUUUUUAA